AGGAGUGCUCGAAAGAGAGCCGUAACACAGGUGCUGCAUGGCUGUCGUCAGCUCGUGUCGUGAGAUGUUGGGUUAAGUCCCGCAACGAGCGCAACCCUUGCCAUUAGUUGCUACGAAAGGGCACUCUAAUGGGACUGCCGGUGACAAACCGGAGGAAGGUGGGGAUGACGUCAAGUCCUCAUGGCCCUUAUAGGUGGGGCUACACACGUCAUACAAUGGCUGGUACAAAGGGUUGCCAACCCGCGAGGGGGAGCUAAUCCCAUAAAGCCAGUCGUAGUCCGGAUCGCAGUCUGCAACUCGACUGCGUGAAGUCGGAAUCGCUAGUAAUCGUGGAUCAGAAUGUCACGGUGAAUACGUUCCCGGGUCUUGUACACACCG
This 378-nucleotide ribosomal RNA is filed under the name Comamonas sp. MGL23. RNAcentral's name for it is "bacterial SSU rRNA". It matches the Rfam family "Bacterial small subunit ribosomal RNA", at positions 1008 to 1392 of the family's 1533-position model. Lineage: Bacteria; Pseudomonadati; Pseudomonadota; Betaproteobacteria; Burkholderiales; Comamonadaceae. The record is from RNAcentral.